GGACAUCUUCUUCAGUUGAAUGUGACUGCUGAACCCAAGCGGAGUCGGAGUAGUCGUGAGUGUCAACACGUGGAGGACUAUUAUCUCCACCAUGGUGAUCAAAAGCGUGCCCGACUUCCUCUUCUUCAUUUUCCUCUUCAUCUUCUUCUUCUUCACUUUCAUCACUGUCAUCAUCUGCUGCAACAGGCGCAGGGACAAAUCCUCUUCGAACAAAC
This 215-nucleotide long non-coding RNA is filed under the name Lathyrus oleraceus (garden pea). Its description in RNAcentral is "Pisum sativum (pea) long non-coding RNA (PSAT_LNC007611)". Lineage: Eukaryota; Viridiplantae; Streptophyta; Magnoliopsida; Fabales; Fabaceae. The record is from RNAcentral.